GUAGGUGAACCUGCGGAAGGAUCAUUACAGUAGUCACCCGGGGCGCCGCAAGGCCUCCCGGGUAACCUACCACCCUUUGUUUAUUACACUUUGUUGCUUUGGCAGGCCUGCCCUCGGGCUGCUGGCUCCGGCCGGCGAGCGCUUGCCAGGGGACCUAAACUCUGUCUGUCUAUACUGUCUGAGUACUAUAUAAUAGUUAAAACUUUCAACAACGGAUCUCUUGGUUCUG
Molecule: unclassified non-coding RNA, 229 nt
Filed under: rhizosphere metagenome
Description: partial ribosomal RNA internal transcribed spacer region
Source: RNAcentral